GAUGAACGCUAGCUACAGGCUUAACACAUGCAAGUCGAGGGGAAACGAUAGAGAAAGCUUGCUUUUUCUAGGCGUCGACCGGCGCACGGGUGAGUAACUCGUAUCCAACCUGCCCAUCACUUGGGGAUAACCUUGCGAAAGUAAGACUAAUACCCAAUGACGUCCAUAGAAGACAUCUGAAAGGGAUUAAAGAUUUAUCGGGGAUGGAUGGGGAUGCGUCUGAUUAGCUUGUUGGCGGGGUAACGGCCCACCAAGGCGACGAUCAGUAGGGGUUCUGAGGGGAAGGUCCCCCACAUUGGAACUGAGACACGGUCCAAACUCCUACGGGAGGCAGCAGUGAGGAAUAUUGGUCAAUGGGCGAGAGCCUGAACCAGCCAAGUAGCGUGCAGGAUGACGGCCCUAUGGGUUGUAAACUGCUUUUAUAAGGGAAUAAAGUGAGCCUCGUGAGGCUUUUUGCAUGUACCUUAUGAAUAAGGACCGGCUAAUUCCGUGCCAGCCGCCGCAGUAA
Molecule: ribosomal RNA, 508 nt
Filed under: uncultured bacterium
Lineage: Bacteria
Description: partial 16S ribosomal RNA
Rfam family: Bacterial small subunit ribosomal RNA
Source: RNAcentral